UGGUUGUGGAUGGGCAUGCGUCUGAUUAGUUAGUUGGUGUGGUAACGGCACACCAAGGCGACGAUCAGUAGCGGGUCUGAGAGGAUGAUCCGCCACACUGGUACUGAGACACGGACCAGACUCCUACGGGAGGCAGCAGUAGGGAAUAUUGGGCAAUGGGCGAGAGCCUGGCCCAGCCAUGCCGCGUGCAGGAUGACGGCCUUCUGGGUUGUAAACUGCUUUUAUAAGGGAAGAAAAUGUUCCUGCGGGAAUAACUGACGGUACCUUAUGAAUAAGCACCGGCUAACUCCGUGCCAGCAGCCGCGGUAAUACGGAGGGUGCAAGCGUUGUCCGGAUUUAUUGGGUUUAAAGGGUGCGUAGGCGGAUUGUUAAGUCAGUGGUGAAAGUCUGCGGCUCAACCGUAGAAGUGCCAUUGAUACUGGCAAUCUUGAGUACAGUAGAGGUAGGCGGAAUUUAUGGUGUAGCGGUGAAAUGCAUAGAUACCAUAAAGAACACCUAUAGCGAAGGCAGCUUACUAUGCUGUAACUGACGCUGAGGCACGAAAGCGUGGGGAGCGAACAGGAUUAGAUACCCUGGUAGUCCACGCUGUAAACGAUGAUGACUCGCUGUUGGCGAUAAACAGUCAGUGGCCAAGCGAAAGCGUUAAGUCAUCCACCUGGGGAGUACGAUCGCAGAUUGAACUCAAGGAAUUGACGGGGUCCGCACAAGCGGUGGAGCAUGUGGUUU
This 726-nucleotide ribosomal RNA is filed under the name uncultured bacterium. Its description in RNAcentral is "bacterial SSU rRNA". It matches the Rfam family "Bacterial small subunit ribosomal RNA", at positions 216 to 947 of the family's 1533-position model. The record is from RNAcentral.